This is a non-coding RNA of Myotis davidii, 72 nucleotides long. NCBI's taxonomy places the organism in Eukaryota, Metazoa, Chordata, Mammalia, Chiroptera, Vespertilionidae. The record is from Rfam.
AGCCGCGUGGCUCAGUGGUUGAGCGUCAACCCAGGAACCAGGAAGUCACUGGUUCUAUUCCGGUCAGGGCUG